AUGCAGGUGGUCACGGGUGCCAUUGGCAGCCUGCUCCCCAAGCUGGGGAAGCUGCUCAUGGAGGAGUACAACUUGCAGAAGAAGGCAAAGAAAGGUGUCGAGUCUCUCAUGCGAGAGAUGAAGACUAUGCACGCUGCCCUCUGCAAGGUAGCCGAUGUGGCGAGUGAUCAGCUCGACGAGCAGGUCAAGCUCUGGGCUGAUGAGGUCAGGGAGCUCUCCUACGACAUGGAAGACGUCGUUGACAAGUUCCUUGUGCGUGUUGAAGGCUCUAAUAAACCCGCUGAUGAUGGCAACAAGCUCACUAAUCUCGUGGAGAAGAUGGCCAACUUGUUCAACAACGGUAAGGCCCGCCGCCAGAUUUCUAGCGCCAUCAAGGACAUCCAAAAAGAUGUCCAAGAUGUGGCAGCCAGGCGUGGAAGGUAUACAGUCGAAGAUAUUGUGCCUAAGCCUGCAGCUAGGACAGCUAUCGAUCCUCGUCUCCGAGCUCUGUACACUGAAGUUACAGAGCUUGUCGGCAUCUAUGGGAAGAGGGAUCAAGAGCUUGUCAAGUUAUUGUCCUUAGAAGAUGAAGAUCCGUGCAAGAAGAGACUGAAGAUAGUCUCUGUAGUUGGAUUCGGAGGAUUAGGCAAGACCACUCUUGUCAGAACAGUAUAUGAUAAGAUCAAAGGAGGUUUCCAUUCUUGGGCUUUUGUUCCAGUUGGUCGGAAUCCUGACGUAAAGAAGAUAUUCAGGGACAUUCUCAUUGGUCUAAACAAGCAAAUUUACACUAAUAUCAAUCUCAUGGUAUUGGAUGAAAGGCAACUUAUUGAAGAAAUCCGUGAAUUACUUCAGGAUAAGAGAUAUCUCGUCAUAAUUGAUGAUAUAUGGGAUGCAAAACUAUGGGGAGAUAUCAAGUUGGCUUUCUCUAAUAUGAACAAUCUUGGAAGUCGACUAAUCACGACAACCCGCAUAUUGAGUGUAUCUAAAGCAUGUUGUCCUUCCACUCAUGAUUCCAUUUAUGAAAUGAAACCUCUCUCAGAUGACGACUCUGCAAGGCUCUUCUAUAAAAGAGUGUUUUCAAGUGAGCAUGGUUGUCCUAAUGAACUUAAGAAGGUAUCUAAAGAUAUAUUGAGGAAAUGUGGCGGUGUGCCACUAGCCAUCCUUACUAUUGCUAGUCUUCUUGCUGCUGGUCAACAGAUAAAGCCAAAAUUUGAACGGCAUGUUCUGGUAAACUCAAUUGGUCGCGGACUUACAGAAGAUGUAAGUAUGGAGGAAAUGCAGAGGAUACUAUCAUUUAGCUAUUAUGAUCUACCUUCUGAUAUGAAGACUUGUUUAUUAUAUCUAAGUAUGUAUCCUGAAGACCAUGAGAUUGACAAAGAAGAACUUAUAUGGAAGUGGAUAUGUGAAGAAUUUGUGCAGCAUGGAAAGCAACUAACUAGCACAUUUGAGAUUGGGGAAACUUAUUUCAACGAGCUGAUAAAUAGAAACAUGAUUCAGCCAAUAUACACUGGUUUUUGUGAAGUAAAAAGUUGCCGUGUGCACGAUAUGGUGCUUGAUCUGAUUCGUUCCUUGUCAGGUGAAGCAAAGUUCAUUACAGUAUUGGAUAGUAAUAAGGAUAUGACGUGUUCUCGUGGCAAUAUCCGUAGGAUAUCUCUCCAAAAU
RNAcentral lists this ribosomal RNA (1641 nucleotides) under Triticum aestivum (bread wheat). RNAcentral describes it as "partial small subunit ribosomal RNA". Lineage: Eukaryota; Viridiplantae; Streptophyta; Magnoliopsida; Poales; Poaceae. The record is from RNAcentral.